RNAcentral lists this long non-coding RNA (5384 nucleotides) under Nicotiana tabacum (common tobacco). Its description in RNAcentral is "long non-coding RNA (NTAB_LNC006560)". The record is from RNAcentral. Lineage: Eukaryota; Viridiplantae; Streptophyta; Magnoliopsida; Solanales; Solanaceae.
AAGGGCACGCAUAAAGUUAUUCCUUGAACUAUAAAGAUAUACGACUACAAAGAAGAUGCGAAGAAGUCUAACAUGUUUUAAAGGGGAAGAAAUACAUAUGGUGUCACGAUCCAAAAUCCCGCCUUGGGUGUCAUGAUUACACCUAGUCUCUAAGACCAGGAAAGCCGAUUACUCUUACAACAGUUACGCCAGUUAAACAUGAUAUUAUAAAGCAGAAUUUAAUAUAAAAUACCGAAAUAAAGGUGAUGCAAGUCUACGCGGCGAUAAUCACAACAAUCCUCUCAAGACGAGGUAAUACAGAGUCACAAACUCUACUGAAUACAUAACAUAAUUCAAAAUACAAUACUGUUCGGAUAGAGAUUUGACAGUAGUAAUAUAAGCAAAGGACUCCAUGGGACUGCGGCAACCAAACAGCUCUACCUUGAAUCCUCGCGAUCAAGAAGCUAACUUUGCUUGAAUCCGUUAUCUCCAAUACCUAGAUCUGCACAAAAAUGUACAGAAGUGUAGUAUGAGUACACCACGGUCGGUACCCAAUAAGUAUCAAGACUAACCUCGGUAGAGUAGUGACGAAGUACAAAUCAAGACACCUACUAGUCAUAAUAAUCUGUGCAGAAUAUCAGUAUAAAGCUAAUAACGGAAGCAAGAAACCAUAACGGCAACAAGGGAUACACAUGUAGAAAAGUAGUAAUGUAAUCAGAACAACGUUAAGUACCGGUGAAACCAAAUAAAAAAAAUAAAUGACAACCAAAUAUUCAAACCGCUCUAAUACAAGUUUCACAACAAAAAUUACUAUGAGAUACCUCCUUUCAAAAUCACAAAUCACGAGUCCCAAAUCACCAAUCAUAUGUUUGUGGCACUUCGUGCCCAUAUUAUAAAUCACAACCGUACGGAUAACUCACCUGCCAAUUCCUCAACCCGCCCGUCAUAGUCACAGGCUCACUAUCAAAAUCCGCCUGGUGUGGUCACAUGUCCAAUAUCACAAUGGAAAUAGAUACACAAGAAUACGUGUGCGAGAUCAAUAAAUCUCAAGUUUCAUACUUCUUAACCGAUAUAAAUGUCAUGCUACGGUGUAUGUAUGUGCCAGUGUACUAUUACAAUCCAAGUCAACAUAUAUUGGAAACAACACAACAAGUCACGUAAGGUGCAUGAAACACACAAGAAAAAUUACACCAUCACAUGAAUAUCAUCAACAUCGUGCCCCCAGACAGUCACAUAUCAUCCCUGACAUAGCCACCCUUAUUUCUCCCCAUUGACAAAUCAUAAUAACAAUCUGUAUUACUCCAGACAAUGUAUAUCAAUAGUCACAUGUAUCACUCCGCUUAGACAAUAACACAAUAGCCACCCGUAUCACUCCGCCCAGACAAUAACACAUUAGCCACCCGUAUCACUCCGCACAAUCAACAACAGUGAGAUGCCACCCUUAUGCUCCGCAUAGAAAUAAUUAAUCCACACAAUAAAUUCACAUGUGUCAGCAUCACAACAACACAAUAUAUCAACUCGUACCACAAGUGCCCAUAGGCCACAACCUUUCCAAAACAACAAUAUCAAUAUCAACACAACACAUAGCCCACGACUCAACCACAAUGUGCAUAAGAAUCGCAAUAACAACAAAAUGAAAUGGGAAAAAUUACUCGACAAUGAAAAAUAGUCCAUUAAACAACAACUUCAACUAAAAUAGGUUAAUGUCUUUCAAUGACUUCACUUCAAUUAAUUGCUUAAGAAUAAACUCAAUAAUGAAAGUAUUUUCAUGCAAUUGCAACUCCAAAUAUUAGUGUAUGGCACAAGCUAACAAUGAAAGAGAUGGUCAUGAAAUAGCAACUACGUCUAAAUGCAUGAGAAUAAAUUGUCAACGAGGGAUAUCAUGUAACAACUUCAAUUAAGAAUAACUUAACAAUAAAGAAGGUCACAUUACAAUAAAAGAGGUAACAACUUCAAAUAGAGCAUAUAAGCGUAAACUUGAUAAGUAAAAGAUAUAACAUGUGCUAAUAACUUCAAAUAAAGCAUGUGAGAGUAAACUUGACAAUUAAAAAAUAUAACGUGCACUAAUAACUUAAAAUAAAUGCAUGAAAGAAGCCUAAGAGUCUAAACCAGUCAAUUUUCAUAUAUAAUCCUGUGUACACACUCGUCAUCUCAUGUACACAUCGUCCACGUAAUUCAAAUAAUGCAAUUAAGCUCAUCCUACGGGGUAAUUUUUUUCACAUAAAGUUAGGCAAGAUACUUACCUCAAUGAAGCUAAAUCAAUACUCUAAAAAGACCUUUCCGUGUGAAACAACCUCCGGAUGGCUCGAAUCUAUCCAAAAUAACUUAAUAUCAUAAAUAAAAAUCAUAAAAAAUAAUUUCGGAUAAUAAAGCUUCGAUCAUUAAUAAAAACCAAAAAGUCAUCCCAAAAAGUCAACCCCGGGCUUGUCACACCUCAUUUUUACGGGGAAAGAAGUUUUUCCACUUUAAGUGAUAUUAUUGAAAUGAAAUUAUUCAUUUUACUUUUGAGAGUCGCCACUUAGAAUAAUUAUUUACGGUGUCUCAAGUCAUCAUUUAAUUUAAAAUUCCAAUUCAAGGAAACUGACUCUCUUUAUGUUUGUGAAAUACAGAAGAUCGGGUAAGGAAUUCUGUUAAUCCGGGAGAAGGUAUUAGGCACUCCCAGAUUCCGUAGUUUUAGCAUGGUCACUUUAUAAUCAUAACUUGGCUUGAUUAUCUGUUAAUUACGUAUUUUAAAAUCUAUGUGCAAUUUAACCUUUUACCGCAUUUAAAUUACUUGAUGAUGGCGUUAUGAAAUUAUCUUGAAACGAACCACGUGUGUGUGAAACUGUUUUAUUUAGUGUGCUAAAAUUAUAUCACAUGUACGUGUACACGAUUAAUAACACUUAACUAAUUAUUAAGAUUCUUUGGCCAAAGUCGCGCGGACACAUACCUUGAUUUAUUUUGGGAUCAUAAUUAUGUCACACGAACGUGUACAUAAUCACGAUAAUAUAUUAAAAGCAUGCCUAAAGCAUUCUACGAGUGUUCAAAAUUGUUUAGUCUAAACUAAUUUAUUGUUAAUAUGAGGCAUGAUUAUGGAAAAGCAUUGUGAACUCAAAAUGGGUGAUUUUAUUUAUUUAUGCCUAAACGUGUAAACAAACCCAAUCUUAACACAUAGCAUUUAUAGAAACAAUAGAUGAUCACGUUUUCUUUAAUUUAAUAAAUGGAUAAUAUUAUAGGCUUGAUUUGCAAAGAAAACAUGAGCUAAACUCAGCGUGAGUCCAGACCGCGAUACGGAAUGGGCUCAACAUGGAUGGCCCAAACAAAGUUCGCAUAGUUUCAAGAGAUAAACCCCAAAGCAUUUGUUAUUUGGAACUGGGCCUAAUACUGGCCCAGUAUAAUAAACUUGAUUGAACAAAUUUCAGUAGAUCCACAUCAGCUACAUACCCUCAAACAAUAUGGGUUAAACGAUAAGCAAACCCAAUUAAUUCUAAGAGGUUAUAACCCAAAUGUUCAGCUAAUAACCUAACUGAUUUUGCUAAUUACAACAAUUAGGGAAACUGAGUUAUUACAGGCUUUUCAAAUUAGCUUUACAAAGAAUCAAUAAAUUAAAAAGUGAUCUUCAAAUUUUAAACUAUGGGAAUUAAAAUAGAAUCAACUAUUAUACACCCACUUUCACGCCUAUGAAACUUUGAGUCAGGCCUGGUACUGGCCAAACUCCCAAACUUUAACAUUAGCUAGUGUUUCAUUUUCUAUUUACAGAUCUAAAAGUAAUCAUUGAAACUUCACAUAUGAUAUCAAUUACACACCAAUGACAAUUUUAGCUUUAGGUUAUUCAUACAAGUCACGAGAUCAAAUCUCAUACUCAUCCUCUCAGUUGUUGCUUAGGUUUACAACAUGCUUUAGACAUUAGCUAGAUCAAACAAUUCAAAUUCAAUUCGAAUUUUUAAUUAGACAUGAAAGAAUAUCUAAGGAACACAUAAUGAACAAAUUGAGGCAGAUAUUAUAACGUCAUGACAUCCACAUUGGCAAUUACAUAAUCUGAGACUGAAAAAAGUACCUGGAUAGUGGAUAAACAAUAUGCAAUUAGCCCAAUAAAUGCGAGAGAUAAAAUGACAGAACUCAACUAAGUAGGACACAACAUGCAACUUCAAAUAUGGACUAAAAACAGCUUGAAAACCCAAGAAAAUAGUAUAGAAGACCUCCUUGAAUCAAUCAAUAUCAGCUAAUUAUUUUUUAGUAUGAAAAUCAACCUAAACUUUUACUGUUUUUGUGUUUUUCCUCUAAGUUUUUAAAGCUGAAAAUUUCAGAUCUCAGAAAGGGAAUUUUGAAUUUCAAAACCUUUUUUCAGCUCUCUUUGGUGAGAGGUGCGUGAGUGAGAAUAUAUGAUAGUGAAUAUUAGAGUGAAUGUGAGCAGUCUGUUAUGUAGAAUAAAUUUCAGCAUCUUUCAGUUUUGCUCCCUUUUCUUUUACCCCUCCUAAUUUCUGCUAUUUUUCUCCCUCACCGGGACCUUUUCAGUUUUUUAUUACUAACAAUUCCUUUUUACUCUCUUCUAGAAGCUUUUCCACCAAUUAAGCUAAAAAUUCCUUUAAGUUAUUUCGUAAUAUUACCCUCUUAUCCCUGUAUUUAUCUCUGACCAACAGGCUCAUACCCAAUCCCCCACUUGACGGGCCAGCCUGUUAAGAAAUGGCAGGCCCAAUUCUUAUGCCCAAAUGAACCAGAACAGAUCAAUCAUCUACUGCAGACAAACAAUCUCAGAUGCAACUGCAACCUAAUUAAACAUAAAGUAAUUGACCAAAUAUGCAACUAAACUAAAAUCAAACAAUUAAUCACCAACUAAUCCAAACUCUUAAUUAACCUACUUGAACAGAAAUUUCAAUACGUGGUCAUUAGGCAAAAUUAGAGAAAAUGGGAAAAGAAGUAUACCAGUCAACAUAAACAAAUUCGGCGAGUGAGAAGAUAUCCAAUGGUGAAAAGACUCCGGCAAGCAAUAGAGGAGAGUGAAUUCUGGCCGGUCAACGGGAUUUGACCGACCUUCGGCGACCUCGAAGUGACCUAAAACUAACGUCAAUCGAUUUCUCUCGUCAAGAGCAAUUGAUCAGCAUAAAUUUCAAGUCAAAACGAAUUGAAAAAGGCCGAAAAAUCGAAAAGGGGACAUAUUAGGUUUUAAUAUUUUCCUAGAUCUAUUAAUCGUGGAAUUUGGGUGGGAUUUGAGGGAAAUGAAUAGUGUAUUUGGACUGAGGAAGGGCUGGGGAUUGUAGGGUGACAAUUUGGAGUAAUUUGGAGUGGUGCCGCCAUCGUGGGCAAUAUCCGGUGGGCAGUGGGCGACGGAGAACAGUGAGGGUGAGAGGAGGAGUCUGAGCGUGGUCUCUGGGGGUGGGGUAGGAUGUUUAGGGAACUUUUAUGGGAAUAAAAGGCCAGUUCCUGGC